AUACGUAGGGGGCGAGCGUUGUCCGGAAUGAUUGGGCGUAAAGGGCGCGUAGGCGGCCCGGUAAGUCUGGAGUGAAAGUCCUGUUUUUAAGAUGGGAAUUGCUUUGGAUACUGUCGGGCCUGAGUGCAGGAGCGGUAAGUGGAAUUCCCAGUGCAGCGGUGAAAUGCGUAGAGAUUGGGAGGAACACCAGUGGCGAAGGCGACUUACUGGACUGUAACUGACGCUGAGGCGCGAAAGUGUGGGGAGCAAACAGGAUUAGAUACCCUGGUAGUCCACACUGUAAACGAUGAAUGCUAGGUGUAGGGGGUAUCGACCCCUUCUGUGCCGCAGUCAACACAAUAAGCAUUCCGCCUGGGGGGUACGGCCGCAAGGUUGAAACUCAAAGGAAUUGACGGGG
Molecule: ribosomal RNA, 397 nt
Filed under: uncultured bacterium
Lineage: Bacteria
Description: partial 16S ribosomal RNA
Rfam family: Bacterial small subunit ribosomal RNA
Source: RNAcentral